This 119-nucleotide small nucleolar RNA is filed under the name Echinops telfairi (small Madagascar hedgehog). RNAcentral's name for it is "Small nucleolar RNA SNORA61 (ENSETEG00000025975.1)". Lineage: Eukaryota; Metazoa; Chordata; Mammalia; Afrosoricida; Tenrecidae. The record is from RNAcentral.
ACCCUCUAGUUACAUUACCCAUAAGAUUUAAACACUGGCCUGAGUAGUUACAGUGGAGGGAAAUAACAUUGACACUGACUUCAAUGCUUUUGUGGCAUAUGGGCUAGUUUCAAACAAAA